GACACACCUGCCCAUUGAGCUGCAGGCUGACCGUGGUGCCCUGCAUGUUCAAGCAGGUCUUACAAUACGAGACCGUUUUGUGAAAGUCGCACAACUUCUCGUUGCUGCGCGCCAAGUUCAGGUAGCCCUCAGUCAGGCCAUCGGACUUCGGCGAGGUAGCGAGAAAGCAGAUCUCCGCCAUGCUGAACACUGAAGAUCCCCUGAAGAUGAUCCCCCGCGAGCUCGGUGCCAGAAGGCCUAACACAUCCAGAUCCCUCAACUCCGGCUGCGCUGGGACGGAAAGGAAACCGGAUCCAACCGAGUCACGACCAUUAUCACCAGCGGCUUCGUGAUAAACCCGAGAGCCGGGCGAAUAUCUUCCCCAUUUAACUCUGCAGUAAUCCCCCCUAGGCAUGAAGGUAUCAAAGUUCUUCUUCGAAUU
Long non-coding RNA from Syngnathus typhle (broad-nosed pipefish), 421 nucleotides. RefSeq lists it as uncharacterized. Lineage: Eukaryota; Metazoa; Chordata; Actinopteri; Syngnathiformes; Syngnathidae. The transcript is spliced from 2 exons. The record is from RefSeq and is a predicted model, not a curated record.